This 1597-nucleotide ribosomal RNA is filed under the name Leuconostoc citreum. RNAcentral's name for it is "bacterial SSU rRNA". It matches the Rfam family "Bacterial small subunit ribosomal RNA". Lineage: Bacteria; Bacillati; Bacillota; Bacilli; Lactobacillales; Lactobacillaceae. The record is from RNAcentral.
GAGUUUGAUCCUGGCUCAGGAUGAACGCUGGCGGCGUGCCUAAUACAUGCAAGUCGAACGCGCAGCGAGAGGUGCUUGCACCUUUCAAGCGAGUGGCGAACGGGUGAGUAACACGUGGAUAACCUGCCUCAAGGCUGGGGAUAACAUUUGGAAACAGAUGCUAAUACCGAAUAAAACUUAGUAUCGCAUGAUAUCAAGUUAAAAGGCGCUACGGCGUCACCUAGAGAUGGAUCCGCGGUGCAUUAGUUAGUUGGUGGGGUAAAGGCUUACCAAGACAAUGAUGCAUAGCCGAGUUGAGAGACUGAUCGGCCACAUUGGGACUGAGACACGGCCCAAACUCCUACGGGAGGCUGCAGUAGGGAAUCUUCCACAAUGGGCGCAAGCCUGAUGGAGCAACGCCGCGUGUGUGAUGAAGGCUUUCGGGUCGUAAAGCACUGUUGUAUGGGAAGAAAUGCUAAAAUAGGGAAUGAUUUUAGUUUGACGGUACCAUACCAGAAAGGGACGGCUAAAUACGUGCCAGCAGCCGCGGUAAUACGUAUGUCCCGAGCGUUAUCCGGAUUUAUUGGGCGUAAAGCGAGCGCAGACGGUUGAUUAAGUCUGAUGUGAAAGCCCGGAGCUCAACUCCGGAAUGGCAUUGGAAACUGGUUAACUUGAGUGUUGUAGAGGUAAGUGGAACUCCAUGUGUAGCGGUGGAAUGCGUAGAUAUAUGGAAGAACACCAGUGGCGAAGGCGGCUUACUGGACAACAACUGACGUUGAGGCUCGAAAGUGUGGGUAGCAAACAGGAUUAGAUGCCCUGGUAGUCCACACCGUAAACGAUGAAUACUAGGUGUUAGGAGGUUUCCGCCUCUUAGUGCCGAAGCUAACGCAUUAAGUAUUCCGCCUGGGGAGUACGACCGCAAGGUUGAAACUCAAAGGAAUUGACGGGGACCCGCACAAGCGGUGGAGCAUGUGGUUUAAUUCGAAGCAACGCGAAGAACCUUACCAGGUCUUGACAUCCUUUGAAGCUUUUAGAGAUAGAAGUGUUCUCUUCGGAGACAAAGUGACAGGUGGUGCAUGGUCGUCGUCAGCUCGUGUCGUGAGAUGUUGGGUUAAGUCCCGCAACGAGCGCAACCCUUAUUGUUAGUUGCCAGCAUUCAGUUGGGCACUCUAGCGAGACUGCCGGUGACAAACCGGAGGAAGGCGGGGACGACGUCAGAUCAUCAUGCCCCUUAUGACCUGGGCUACACACGUGCUACAAUGGCGUAUACAACGAGUUGCCAACCUGCGAAGGUGAGCUAAUCUCUUAAAGUACGUCUCAGUUCGGACUGCAGUCUGCAACUCGACUGCACGAAGUCGGAAUCGCUAGUAAUCGCGGAUCAGCACGCCGCGGUGAAUACGUUCCCGGGUCUUGUACACACCGCCCGUCACACCAUGGGAGUUUGUAAUGCCCAAAGCCGGUGGCCUAACCUUCGGGAGGGAGCCGUCUAAGGCAGGACAGAUGACUGGGGUGAAGUCGUAACAAGGUAGCCGUAGAGUUUGAUCCUGGCUCAGGAUAAGUCGUAACAAGGUAACCACUAGAGUUUGAUCCUGGCUCAGUAAGUCGUAACAAGGUAACC